GAGGGAAACCGAGUCUUAAUUGGGCGUUAAGUUGCAGGGUAUAGACCCGAAACCCGGUGAUCUAGCCAUGGGCAGGUUGAAGGUUGGGUAACACUAACUGGAGGACCGAACCGACUAAUGUUGAAAAAUUAGCGGAUGACCUGUGGCUGGGGGUGAAAGGCCAAUCAAACCGGGAGAUAGCUGGUUCUCCCCGAAAGCUAUUUAGGUAGCGCCUCGUGAAUUCAUCUCCGGGGGUAGAGCACUGUUUCGGCUAGGGGGCCAUCCCGGCUUACCAACCCGAUGCAAACUGCGAAUACCGGAGAAUGUUAUCACGGGAGACACACGGCGGGUGCUAACGUCCGUCGUGAAGAGGGAAACAACCCAGACCGCCAGCUAAGGUCCCAAAGUCAUGGUUAAGUGGGAAACGAUGUGGGAAGGCCCAGACAGCCAGGAUGUUGGCUUAGAAGCAGCCAUCAUUUAAAGAAAGCGUAAUAGCUCACUGGUCGAGUCGGCCUGCGCGGAAGAUGUAACGGGGCUAAACCAUGCACCGAAGCUGCGGCAGCGACACUGUGUGUUGUUGGGUAGGGGAGCGUUCUGUAAGCCUGUGAAGGUGUGUCGUGAGGCAUGCUGGAGGUAUCAGAAGUGCGAAUGCUGACAUAAGUAACGAUAAAGCGGGUGAAAAGCCCGCUCGCCGGAAGACCAAGGGUUCCUGUCCAACGUUAAUCGGGGCAGGGUGAGUCGACCCCUAAGGCGAGGCCGAAAGGCGUAGUCGAUGGGAAACGGGUUAAUAUUCCCGUACUUGGUGUUACUGCGAAGGGGGGACGGAGAAGGCUAUGUUGGCCGGGCGACGGUUGUCCCGGUUUAAGCGUGUAGGCUGGUUUUCCAGGCAAAUCCGGAAAAUCAAGGCUGAGGCGUGAUGACGAGGCACUACGGUGCUGAAGCAACAAAUGCCCUGCUUCCAGGAAAAGCCUCUAAGCAUCAGGUAACAUCAAAUCGUACCCCAAACCGACACAGGUGGUCAGGUAGAGAAUACCAAGGCGCUUGAGAGAACUCGGGUGAAGGAACUAGGCAAAAUGGUGCCGUAACUUCGGGAGAAGGCACGCUGACACGUAGGUGAAGUGAUUUACUCAUGGAGCUGAAGUCAGUCGAAGAUACCAGCUGGCUGCAACUGUUUAUUAAAAACACAGCACUGUGCAAACACGAAAGUGGACGUAUACGGUGUGACGCCUGCCCGGUGCCGGAAGGUUAAUUGAUGGGGUCAGCGCAAGCGAAGCUCCUGAUCGAAGCCCCGGUAAACGGCGGCCGUAACUAUAACGGUCCUAAGGUAGCGAAAUUCCUUGUCGGGUAAGUUCCGACCUGCACGAAUGGCGUAAUGAUGGCCAGGCUGUCUCCACCCGAGACUCAGUGAAAUUGAACUCGCUGUGAAGAUGCAGUGUACCCGCGGCAAGACGGAAAGACCCCGUGAACCUUUACUAUAGCUUGACACUGAACAUUGAGCCUUGAUGUGUAGGAUAGGUGGGAGGCUUUGAAGUGUGGACGCCAGUCUGCAUGGAGCCGACCUUGAAAUACCACCCUUUAAUGUUUGAUGUUCUAACGUGGACCCGUUACCCGGGUUGCGGACAGUGUCUGGUGGGUAGUUUGACUGGGGCGGUCUCCUCCUAAAGAGUAACGGAGGAGCACGAAGGUUGGCUAAUCCUGGUCGGACAUCAGGAGGUUAGUGCAAUGGCAUAAGCCAGCUUGACUGCGAGCGUGACGGCGCGAGCAGGUGCGAAAGCAGGUCAUAGUGAUCCGGUGGUUCUGAAUGGAAGGGCCAUCGCUCAACGGAUAAAAGGUACUCCGGGGAUAACAGGCUGAUACCGCCCAAGAGUUCAUAUCGACGGCGGUGUUUGGCACCUCGAUGUCGGCUCAUCACAUCCUGGGGCUGAAGUAGGUCCCAAGGGUAUGGCUGUUCGCCAUUUAAAGUGGUACGCGAGCUGGGUUUAGAACGUCGUGAGACAGUUCGGUCCCUAUCUGCCGUGGGCGCUGGAGAACUGAGGGGGGCUGCUCCUAGUACGAGAGGACCGGAGUGGACGCAUCACUGGUGUUCGGGUUGUCAUGCCAAUGGCACUGCCCGGUAGCUAAAUGCGGAAGAGAUAAGUGCUGAAAGCAUCUAAGCACGAAACUUGCCCCGA
This 2150-nucleotide ribosomal RNA is filed under the name Salmonella enterica subsp. enterica serovar Enteritidis. RNAcentral's name for it is "partial 23S ribosomal RNA". It matches the Rfam family "Bacterial large subunit ribosomal RNA", at positions 668 to 2802 of the family's 2925-position model. Lineage: Bacteria; Pseudomonadati; Pseudomonadota; Gammaproteobacteria; Enterobacterales; Enterobacteriaceae. The record is from RNAcentral.